UUCUUCUCCUCCUUCUUCUCCUUCUUCUUGUCCUUCUUCUUUUCUUCUUAUUCUCCUCUUCCUUCUCCUUCUCCUUCUCCUUCUCCUUCUCCUUCUCCUCCUCCUUCUCCUCCUCCUUCUUCUUCUUUUUCUUCUCCUUCUUCUUCUCUUCUUGCUUCUUCUCUUUCUUCUUCUAUGUAGGUUAUUUUCCCCAACAAAGACAUACUUAGCUAAUUAUCCUCCAAAAUAACAUAAUUAGCAU
Molecule: long non-coding RNA, 241 nt
Filed under: Hordeum vulgare
Lineage: Eukaryota; Viridiplantae; Streptophyta; Magnoliopsida; Poales; Poaceae
Description: long non-coding RNA (HVUL_LNC018822)
Source: RNAcentral